AAAAUGUAGCUUAAUAAAAGCACCUGGUUUACACCCAGAAGAUUUCAGUAAUACUGACCGUUUUGA
RNAcentral lists this transfer RNA (66 nucleotides) under Microgale longicaudata (lesser long-tailed shrew tenrec). RNAcentral describes it as "partial tRNA-Val". It matches the Rfam family "tRNA". From Rfam's summary of the family: Transfer RNA (tRNA) molecules are approximately 80 nucleotides in length. Their secondary structure includes four short double-helical elements and three loops (D, anti-codon, and T loops). Further hydrogen bonds mediate the characteristic L-shaped molecular structure. tRNAs have two regions of fundamental functional importance: the anti-codon, which is responsible for specific mRNA codon recognition, and the 3' end, to which the tRNAs corresponding amino acid is attached (by aminoacyl-tRNA synthetases). tRNAs cope with the degeneracy of the genetic code in two manners: having more than one tRNA (with a specific anti-codon) for a particular amino acid; and 'wobble' base-pairing, i.e. permitting non-standard base-pairing at the 3rd anti-codon position. The record is from RNAcentral. Lineage: Eukaryota; Metazoa; Chordata; Mammalia; Afrosoricida; Tenrecidae.